Camelus ferus (Wild Bactrian camel) is the source of this 72-nucleotide transfer RNA. It matches the Rfam family "tRNA". From Rfam's summary of the family: Transfer RNA (tRNA) molecules are approximately 80 nucleotides in length. Their secondary structure includes four short double-helical elements and three loops (D, anti-codon, and T loops). Lineage: Eukaryota; Metazoa; Chordata; Mammalia; Artiodactyla; Camelidae. The record is from Rfam.
AAAGGUAUAGCUCGGUGGUGGAGUGCACGCUUAGCAAGCAUGAGGCCCUGGGUUCAAUCCGCAGUACCUCCA